GGCUCAGGAUGAACGCUGGCGGCGUGCUUAACACAUGCAAGUCGAACGAAGCACUCUAUUUGAUUUUCUUCGGAAAUGAAGAUUUUGUGACUGAGUGGCGGACGGGUGAGUAACGCGUGGGUAACCUGCCUCAUACAGGGGGAUAACAGUUGGAAACGACUGCUAAUACCGCAUAAGCGCACAGGAUCGCAUGAUCCGGUGUGAAAAACUCCGGUGGUAUGAGAUGGACCCGCGUCUGAUUAGCCAGUUGGCAGGGUAACGGCCUACCAAAGCGACGAUCAGUAGCCGACCUGAGAGGGUGACCGGCCACAUUGGGACUGAGACACGGCCCAAACUCCUACGGGAGGCAGCAGUGGGGAAUAUUGCACAAUGGGGGAAACCCUGAUGCAGCGACGCCGCGUGAGCGAAGAAGUAUUUCGGUAUGUAAAGCUCUAUCAGCAGGGAAGAAGAAUGACGGUACCUGACUAAGAAGCACCGGCUAAAUACGUGCCAGCAGCCGCGGUAAUACGUAUGGUGCAAGCGUUAUCCGGAUUUACUGGGUGUAAAGGGAGCGCAGGCGGUGCGGCAAGUCUGAUGUGAAAGCCCGGGGCUCAACCCCGGUACUGCAUUGGAAACUGUCGUACUAGAGUGUCGGAGGGGUAAGUGGAAUUCCUAGUGUAGCGGUGAAAUGCGUAGAUAUUAGGAGGAACACCAGUGGCGAAGGCGGCUUACUGGACGGUAACUGACGCUGAGGCUCGAAAGCGUGGGGAGCAAACAGGAUUAGAUACCCUGGUAGUCCACGCCGUAAACGAUCAAUAAAAGGUGUCGGGGGAGCAUUGCUCUUCGGUGCCGCCAGCAAACGCAAUAAGUAUUCCACCUGGGGAGUACGUUCGCAGAAAUGAAACUCAAAGGAAAUUGACGGGGACCCGCACACGCGGGGGAGCAUGUGGUUUAAUUCGAAGCAACGCGAAGAACCUUACCAAGUCUUGACAUCCCGAUGACAAGCUAUGUAAUGUAGCCUCUCUUCGGAGCAUCGGUGACAGGUGGUGCAUGGUUGUCGUCAGCUCGUGUCGUGAGAUGUUGGGUUAAGUCCCGCAACGAGCGCAACCCCCCUUCUUAGUAGCCAGCGGUCCGGCCGGGCACUCUAGGGAGACUGCCAGGGAUAACCUGGAGGAAGGCGGGGAGGACGUCAAAUCAUCAUGCCCCCUAUGACUUGGGCUACACACGUGCUACAAUGGCGUAAACAAAGGGAAGCGGAGCCGUGAGGCCGAGCAAAUCUCAAAAAUAACGUCUCAGUUCGGACUGUAGUCUGCAACCCGACUACACGAAGCUGGAAUCGCUAGUAAUCGCAGAUCAGAAUGCUGCGG
RNAcentral lists this ribosomal RNA (1346 nucleotides) under uncultured bacterium. Its description in RNAcentral is "bacterial SSU rRNA". It matches the Rfam family "Bacterial small subunit ribosomal RNA", at positions 21 to 1362 of the family's 1533-position model. The record is from RNAcentral.